Molecule: ribosomal RNA, 440 nt
Filed under: uncultured bacterium
Lineage: Bacteria
Description: partial 16S ribosomal RNA
Rfam family: Bacterial small subunit ribosomal RNA
Source: RNAcentral
CCUACGGGAGGCAGCAGUGGGGAAUAUUGCACAAUGGGGGAAACCCUGAUGCAGUGACGCCGCGUGAGUGAAGAAGUAAUUCGUUAUGUAAAGCUCUAUCAGCAGGGAAGAAAAUGACGGUACCUGAGUAAGAAGCCCCGGCUAACUACGUGCCAGCAGCCGCGGUAAUACGUAGGGGGCAAGCGUUAUCCGGAUUUACUGGGUGUAAAGGGAGCGUAGACGGCAGUGCAAGUCUGGAGUGAAAGGGGGGGGCUCAACCCCCGGACUGCUCUGGAAACUGUACGGCUGGAGUGCAGGAGAGGUAAGUGGAAUUCCUAGUGUAGCGGUGAAAUGCGUAGAUAUUAGGAGGAACACCAGUGGCGAAGGCGGCUUACUGGACUGUAACUGACGUUGAGGCUCGAAAGCGUGGGGAGCAAACAGGAUUAGAUACCCUAGUAGUC